ACCUGGGUGGCUCAGUUGGUUGAGCGUCUGACUUCGGCUCAGGUCAUGAUCUCACAGUUUGUGGGUUCAAGCCCCACAUCAGGCU
RNAcentral lists this transfer RNA (85 nucleotides) under Felis catus (domestic cat). It matches the Rfam family "tRNA". Rfam says of the family: Transfer RNA (tRNA) molecules are approximately 80 nucleotides in length. Their secondary structure includes four short double-helical elements and three loops (D, anti-codon, and T loops). The record is from Rfam by way of RNAcentral. RNAcentral also lists the same sequence under 2 other names. Lineage: Eukaryota; Metazoa; Chordata; Mammalia; Carnivora; Felidae.